GUUAUAUGACAUGAAAUUAGUAUCGCUAGAUUGGUUAUCAAAAGUACUCAUGAUAUUUGUGGUUUCAUGUCAUAGAUACCAAAUUUUAACAUCGUAAAUUGUGGUCAAAACGUUGUCUUAUUGAAAUCUAAUAUGGCAUUUUUAAGAAAUAGAUGAAGUAGCAAAAAACGUAGGAAAGAGUUCUAUAAAUAUCUCAUUUCUAUUCUUGAAGCUUUCGUCAACAGUAAGC
RNAcentral lists this long non-coding RNA (229 nucleotides) under Brachypodium distachyon (stiff brome). Its description in RNAcentral is "long non-coding RNA (BDIS_LNC003136)". Lineage: Eukaryota; Viridiplantae; Streptophyta; Magnoliopsida; Poales; Poaceae. The record is from RNAcentral.